AUGACCCUCUGGUCUUCCUCUGAGCUGGGCUGUGUCUGGGAGCGAGGCCUGCACUCUGCACCUGUGAGAGCCACGAGGAGCCCACGUGAGCCUGGCAGAAGGUCAGAUGGCAAGAGCUGGUUCCUGAUGGAGCUGCCGAGGGCACGGAGGUCACUCUGCCAGUGGAAAACUCUCCCUCUCCAGGUAGAGACCCAAACACAGCCUUCCCCAGAGCACCUACUUUCAGGAUCACCGGGUCCCAUUCUGUGCUCCUGUGUGGGCUCCCUGUUKGGAGGACGCUGGCUUGAGCUGGUCACAACUGCAGGCAUUUGGGGAGGACAGCAGAAUGAGAAGCCAUGGUGACACUCAAGAUGUACUGAG
RNAcentral lists this long non-coding RNA (360 nucleotides) under Urocitellus parryii (Arctic ground squirrel). Its description in RNAcentral is "lncRNA (ENSUPAG00010016477.1)". Lineage: Eukaryota; Metazoa; Chordata; Mammalia; Rodentia; Sciuridae. The record is from RNAcentral.